Molecule: ribosomal RNA, 163 nt
Filed under: uncultured bacterium
Lineage: Bacteria
Description: partial 16S rRNA
Rfam family: Bacterial small subunit ribosomal RNA
Source: RNAcentral
UAGGGAAUCUUCCACAAUGGACGCAAGCCUGAUGGAGCAACGCCGCGUGAGUGAAGAAGGUCUUCGGAUCGUAAAACUCUGUUGUUAGAGAAGAACAUGCGAGAGAGUAACUGUUCUUGUAUUGACGGUAUCUAACCAGAAAGCCACGGCUAACUACGNGCAG